GACGAACGCUGGCGGCGUGCUUAACACAUGCAAGUCGAACGGUGAUGCUCCAGCUUGCUGGAGUGGAUCAGUGGCGAACGGGUGAGUAACACGUGAGCAACCUGCCCCAGACUCUGGAAUAAGCGCUGGAAACGGCGUCUAAUACUGGAUACGAAACUGGCCCGCAUGGGCAUGGUUUGGAAAGUUUUUCGGUUUGGGAUGGGCUCGCGGCCUAUCAGCUUGUUGGUGAGGUAAUGGCUCACCAAGGCGACGACGGGUAGCCGGCCUGAGAGGGCGACCGGCCACACUGGGACUGAGACACGGCCCAGACUCCUACGGGAGGCAGCAGUGGGGAAUAUUGCACAAUGGGCGAAAGCCUGAUGCAGCGACGCCGCGUGAGGGAUGACGGCCUUCGGGUUGUAAACCUCUUUCAGCAGGGAAGAAGCGAAAGUGGCGGUACCUGCAGAAGAAGCACCGGCUAACUACGU
RNAcentral lists this ribosomal RNA (467 nucleotides) under uncultured bacterium. RNAcentral's name for it is "partial 16S ribosomal RNA". It matches the Rfam family "Bacterial small subunit ribosomal RNA", at positions 28 to 506 of the family's 1533-position model. The record is from RNAcentral.